CCUGACCUACGGGAGGCAGCAGUGGGGAAUAUUGCACAAUGGGGGGAACCCUGAUGCAGCGACGCCGCGUGAAGGAAGAAGUAGUUCGGUAUGCAAACUUCUAUCAGCAGGGAAGAAAAUGACGGUACCUGACUAAGAAGCCCCGGCUAACUACGUGCCAGCAGCCGCGGUAAUACGUAGGGGGCAAGCGUUAUCCGGAUUUACUGGGUGUAAAGGGAGCGUAGGCGGCGAUGCAAGUUAGAAGUGAAAGCCCGGGGCUCAACUCCGGGACUGCUUUUGAAACUGUGUUGCUAGAUUGCAGGAGA
Molecule: ribosomal RNA, 305 nt
Filed under: uncultured bacterium
Lineage: Bacteria
Description: bacterial SSU rRNA
Rfam family: Bacterial small subunit ribosomal RNA
Source: RNAcentral